This 534-nucleotide ribosomal RNA is filed under the name uncultured Pleosporales. RNAcentral's name for it is "eukaryotic LSU rRNA". The stretch from base 162 to 315 matches the Rfam family "5.8S ribosomal RNA". The record is from RNAcentral. Lineage: Eukaryota; Fungi; Ascomycota; Dothideomycetes; Pleosporales.
GACCUGCGGAGGAUCAUUAUCGUAGGGCUUCGGCCCUGUCGAGAUAGAACCCUUGCCUUUUUGAGUACCUUUCGUUUCCUCGGCAGCCUCGGCUGCCAAUGGGGACCCCAAAAAACACUUUGUAGUACCUGUAACAGUCUGAACAAACAAACAAAAAUUAAAACUUUCAACAACGGAUCUCUUGGUUCUAGCAUCGAUGAAGAACGCAGCGAAAUGCGAUAAGUAGUGUGAAUUGCAGAAUUCAGUGAAUCAUCGAAUCUUUGAACGCACAUUGCGCCCUUUGGUAUUCCUUAGGGCAUGCCUGUUCGAGCGUCAUUUAAACCUUCAAGCUCAGCUUGGUGUUGGGUGACUGUCCGCCGCCUCCGGGCGCGUGGACUCGCCUCAAAAUUAUUGGCGGCCGGUACAUUGGCUUCGAGCGCAGCAGAAACGCGAACUCGGGGCCCGACGUAGCGGCGACCACAAGUCUAUUCAUCACUUUGACCUCGGAUCAGGUAGGGAUACCCGCUGAACUUAAGCAUAUCAAUAAGCGGAGGA